RNAcentral lists this ribosomal RNA (437 nucleotides) under uncultured bacterium. RNAcentral describes it as "partial 16S ribosomal RNA". It matches the Rfam family "Bacterial small subunit ribosomal RNA", at positions 29 to 507 of the family's 1533-position model. The record is from RNAcentral.
AGCGAACGCUGGCGGCAGGCUUGACACAUGCAAGUCGAGCGGGCAUCCUUGUGGUGUCAGCGGCAGACGGGUGAGUAACGCGUGGGAACGUGCCCUUCGGUUCGGAAUAACUCAGGGAAACUUGAGCUAAUACCGGAUACGUGCGAGAGCAGAAAGGUUUAUCUGCCGAAGGAUCGGCCCGCGUCUGAUUAGCUAGUUGGUGAGGUUAUGGCUCACCAAGGCGACGAUCAGUAGCUGGUCUGAGAGGAUGAUCAGCCACACUGGGACUGAGACACGGCCCAGACUCCUACGGGAGGCAGCAGUGGGGAAUAUUGGACAAUGGGGGCAACCCUGAUCCAGCCAUGCCGCGUGAGUGAUGACGGCCUUAGGGUUGUAAAGCUCUUUUCUCCGGGACGAUAAUGACGGUACCGGAGGAAUAAGCCCCGGCUAACUUCGUG